Molecule: non-coding RNA, 29 nt
Filed under: Rattus norvegicus (Norway rat)
Lineage: Eukaryota; Metazoa; Chordata; Mammalia; Rodentia; Muridae
Source: RNAcentral
UGUUGCCAGUGACUUUAUGCCUUAGCAAC